GUAGGUGGCAAGCGUUGUCCGGAAUUAUUGGGCGUAAAGCGCGCGCAGGCGGUUCUUUAAGUCUGAUGUGGAAGCCCACGGCUCAACCGUGGAGGGUCAUUGGAAACUGGAGAACUUGAGUACAGAAGAGGAAAGCGGAAUUCCACGUGUAGCGGUGAAAUGCGUAGAGAUGUGGAGGAACACCAGUGGCGAAGGCGGCUUUCUGGUCUGUAACUGACGCUGAGGCGCGAAAGCGUGGGGAGCAAACAGGAUUGGAUACCCUGGUAGUCCACGCCGUAAACGAUGAGUGCUAAGUGUUAGGGGGUUUCCGCCCCCCUUAGUGCUGCAGCUAACGCAUUAAGCACUCCGCCUGGGAGUACGGCCGCAAGGCUG
This 372-nucleotide ribosomal RNA is filed under the name uncultured organism. Its description in RNAcentral is "partial 16S ribosomal RNA". It matches the Rfam family "Bacterial small subunit ribosomal RNA", at positions 527 to 896 of the family's 1533-position model. The record is from RNAcentral.